GACGAACGCUGGCGGCGUGCUUAACACAUGCAAGUCGAGCGGAAAGGCUCCUUCGGGGGUACUCGAGCGGCGAACGGGUGAGUAACACGUGAGUAAUCUGCCCUUGGCUUCGGGAUAGCCACCGGAAACGGUGAUUAAUACCGGAUACGACACAUCACUGCAUGGUGCGUGUGUGGAAAGUUUUUUCGGCCAGGGAUGUGCUCGCGGCCUAUCAGCUUGUUGGUGGGGUAAUGGCCUACCAAGGCUUCGACGGGUAGCCGGCCUGAGAGGGUGACCGGCCACACUGGGACUGAGACACGGCCCAGACUCCUACGGGAGGCAGCAGUGGGGAAUAUUGGACAAUGGGCGUAAGCCUGAUCCAGCAACGCCGCGUGAGGGAUGACGGCCUUCGGGUUGUAAACCUCUUUCAGCACAGACGAAGCGCAAGUGACGGUAUGUGCAGAAGAAGGACCGGCCAACUACGUGCCAGCAGCCGCGGUAAUACGUAGGGUCCGAGCGUUGUCCGGAAUUAUUGGGCGUAAAGGGCUCGUAGGCGGUUUGUCGCGUCGGGAGUGAAAACACCGGGCUUAACUCGGUGCUUGCUUUCGAUACGGGCAGACUAGAGGCAUUCAGGGGAGAACGGAAUUCCUGGUGUAGCGGUGAAAUGCGCAGAUAUCAGGAGGAACACCGGUGGCGAAGGCGGUUCUCUGGGAAUGUCCUGACGCUGAGGAGC
RNAcentral lists this ribosomal RNA (712 nucleotides) under uncultured Actinomycetes bacterium. RNAcentral's name for it is "bacterial SSU rRNA". It matches the Rfam family "Bacterial small subunit ribosomal RNA", at positions 28 to 754 of the family's 1533-position model. Lineage: Bacteria; Bacillati; Actinomycetota; Actinomycetes. The record is from RNAcentral.